This is a non-coding RNA of Paramormyrops kingsleyae, 528 nucleotides long. The record is from RefSeq and is a predicted model, not a curated record. NCBI's taxonomy places the organism in Eukaryota, Metazoa, Chordata, Actinopteri, Osteoglossiformes, Mormyridae.
UUCAAAUAAUUUUUCAUGGUGGCCCUAAUCCGUAAACAUAUGUAUCGAGUUAUUUGAGGCUUCAUUUUUGCGUCAUCAUGGAUUGUGCAGUUACGACGCAAACACCUGUAAGGCUGAUUCGACCAAUCAGAGAGCGGGAUUCGGCGAAGAUUCCAUAACUACGUUUAUGUUCGAAAUGUAUAUAUUUAUUCCACUCAGUUCAUUUGAAGCCAUUUCACGGAGAGUCAAGCUGUACUCACGGCACAAAAAUGUCUUGCGGAUGUUUUUGCUGGUGGCCUACGAAAAAGCAGCGUGACACUGUCACUGUUGAAGGGGCAGUCCAAAAAGAAGAUAUAAAGAAGCCCCAAAAAAAGAAAUUUAAGUUGACGCGCAAGUUCCCAUGGCUGAAACGUGAGAAGUGCCCAGCCAAGGAGAGCUCAGAUGAGGAUGGACGGAAGUCAGCUGACUGCAUGGACUCUGGGGACAGUAACGCUGUCACGAACAGCCAGAGUCCGUGCGUAGUCACUGUCGACUCUGAGGUACACAGAU